AACGAACGCUGGCGGCAUGCCUAACACAUGCAAGUCGAACGAGACCUUCGGGUCUAGUGGCGCACGGGUGCGUAACGCGUGGGAAUCUGCCCCUUGGUUCGGAAUAACAGUUAGAAAUGACUGCUAAUACCGGAUGAUGACGAAAGUCCAAAGAUUUAUCGCCGAGGGAUGAGCCCGCGUAGGAUUAGCUAGUUGGUGAGGUAAAGGCUCACCAAGGCGACGAUCCUUAGCUGGUCUGAGAGGAUGAUCAGCCACACUGGGACUGAGACACGGCCCAGACUCCUACGGGAGGCAGCAGUGGGGAAUAUUGGACAAUGGGCGAAAGCCUGAUCCAGCAAUGCCGCGUGAGUGAUGAAGGCCUUAGGGUCGUAAAGCUCUUUUACCAGGGAAUGAUAAUGACAGUACCUGGAGAAUAAGCUCCGGCUAACUCCGUG
Molecule: ribosomal RNA, 434 nt
Filed under: uncultured bacterium
Lineage: Bacteria
Description: bacterial SSU rRNA
Rfam family: Bacterial small subunit ribosomal RNA
Source: RNAcentral